UUCAAGUACGAAGAAAUCUUUGGUGGGAAAUGACAGAGCGCACAAGUCCACCUUAGUGCUAUCUGGUCCGCCCUCUUCCACCCCGCCACACAGACCCCAGCCACCUCUGCUAUGGCCUGAUCCGCCCCUCUUCCCCUCGGCGCCUCCACUCCCCCAUCCCGUCCAGCCCAGCUCCGCCGUCGUCUCCACUCCGACACCCCCUCCAGCCCCGCUCCGUCGCCGAGUUUCUUCAUCUCCGCCGCCCCCUCCACCACCGCAUAUGCCCAUCUCCGCCAACAGUGUUUGACGUGCAAGAACUAGACCAAGAAGAGAGAGAAGCGAAAGCCACCCUUCGGGCCAUGGACCCCGCGACGGCGGCCAUGGGCUCCCUCCUUCCCAAGCUGUUCGAGCUCCUCCACGGAGAAUACAAGCUGCAGAAGAGCGUGAAGAAAGAUGUAGAAUUUCUCGAGAGGGAGAUGAGGAGCAUAGACGCCGCCCUCCGCAAAAUGGCCAUGGUGCCGCGUGACCAGCUCGAUGACAACUCCAAGAUCUGGGCCAAUGAUGUCAGGGAGCUGGCAUACGAGAUGGAGGAUGUCGUUGAACACUUCAUGGUGGACGUCCAGGGAUUCGAGCCGGCCGCUAACCCCGACGGUUUCAAAGGGUUCAUGAAGAAGGUGGCUAACUUGUUCACAAAAGGCAAGGCGCGCCACCAGAUCGCCGAUGCAAUCAAAGGCAUCAAGGAUCAGGUCCAGCAGGUGGCGGAUCGACGCGACCGGUACAAGAUUGAUGAUGUUGAGGCAACUCUAGCUGCUUCAACCAUCGUUGACCCUCUAGACCCUCGCUUGAUGGUUCAGUUCAAAGAUCACAGAGAGCUUGUUGGCAUCGAGGGGCCAAGAGACGAGCUAAUCAAGAGGCUGGCAGAUGAAGAUGAUUGUGUGUCCAAGCAGCAGCUCAAGAUCCUCUCGAUCUUCGGAUUUGGAGGACUUGGCAAGACAACUCUUGCCAGAGCAGUUUACGACAAGAUACAAGCAGAAUUCGUAUGUAAGGCUUUUGUUUCGGUCGGUCAGAAGCCUAAUCUGAAGAAUGUUCUCAUAGGUAUUCUCCUCCGAAUUGACAAAGCCUCUUGUCACAAUGUUACACUGUUAGAUGAGGUGCUGCUCAUUGAGAAACUCCGAGAACUGCUUACGAACAAGAGGUACCUCAUCAUCAUUGAUGAUAUAUGGGAUUUGAGUUCAUGGGAUAUAAUCAAAUGUGCUUUUACUAAUAGUAAGUGUGGAAGCAAAGUAAUCACAACUACUCGUAUCUUUGAAGUGGCAAAAGAGGCAGGUGACAUUUACAAGCAAGAACCUCUUUCUCAUGGUAGAUCGAAGGAAUUAUUCUGUAUGAGAUUAUCUAUUGGCAAAAGCAAACGCCCUUAUCAUGAAUCGGUUAAGAUAUCUGAGAAGAUAUUGCAGAAAUGUGGUGGCAUACCGCUAGCUAUCAUUACAAUAGCUAGCUUGUUGGCUAGUAAACCAGUAACAGACUGGCCUGGGGUCUAUGACUCUAUUGGUUUUGGGAACGAAGAUAACAAAGAAGUGGAUACCACAAGAAAGAUAUUGUUAUAUAGCUACUAUGAUCUUCCAUAUUAUCCACGGCUUUGCCUAUUGCACCUAGGUAUAUACCCCGAAGAUUAUGAGAUAAAAAAGGACACUUUAAUUUGGAAGUGGGUGGCUGAAGGAUAUGUCCAUGAGGAACCAGGAAAAGGACUAUUUGAGGUUGGAGAGAGAUACUUCAACAUGCUCAUAGAUAGAAGCAUGAUCCAGGCAGUGGAGAGGCCAUAUUAUAGCAUCAUAUAUGCUUGUCGUGUGCAUGAUUUGGUACUUGAUAUGAUUCAUUUUCUUUCAGAAGACGAAAGUUUUGUUACUGCAUCGAACAGUAACAGGACAUCUCCUCGUACCAAUGCUCGUAGGUUAGCCAUAAAUAAUGAAGUCGUAGAGCAGGAUGGUUCUGUGGCUAACACGAGCAUGCAACAGGUGAGGUUAUAUAGUGCCACCAUGUGUCACUUUACUAUGUUGCCAUUGCUUUCAAACUUUAAAGCUCUCCGUGUGUUGGCUUUAGAAGAGUGCACUUUCAUGGGAAGUGAGCGCUCUGUGAAGCUGGAAGAUUCUCCUUAUCAUCUUAAUUAUCUUGGGAGGCUGAUUCACCUGAGGUACCUUGGGUUCUCGGACCGGCUGGUUGGGUUCUCCCUGCCUGGGAUCUCCAUGCCGCUUAUUUUAAAGGUCCCUGAAGAAAUAGGGGAUCUAAGGUUUUUGCAGGUACUGGACUUGGGCAGAACUGGCAUUAAAAAACUGCCUCAAAGUGUUGGCCGGCUAACACAACUGAAGUGCCUGCGCUUUGGCGGUUCCAGUAUGGAGGUGUUGGACUGCACGAAUUUAACAUCCCUGGAAGAGCUACAAUUGCACCUUGUCUCUCCAGAUUUUCUCAAAGGGCUUGUCAAGCUGAAGGAGUUGAGAAAGUUUAGCCUACACUUUGAAGAGGAGCACGAGAAUAUGUUGUUCAAAGAUUUGAUGGGACAUGUUGCCAAUCUGCAAAAACUUCAAGUCAUAAUGGUUAAUUGUAGGUAUUCAACUCAAAAAGAAAAAAAUUGUAGGUAUCAACCGCGUCCUAAGCCAUGGUCCGAUUACGCUGGCUCUGUGGCCCUUGGGCACCUCCGUCAUCUGACAGUGAAUGGCCUGCUUCCUGGGCUGCCAGUGUGGAUUAACUCCUCAUGCCUCCCGAACCUCUGCCACUUGCAUAUGGAACUGACGGCUAUGAAAUCGCAGGAUAUGGAGAUCCUUGGGAGGUUCUCAGAGCUCAUUACUCUGACCGUUCUUCUCUAUGAUUACAUGGUUUUUCCUAACGCCAUGGAGGAGGGUGCAUUUCCCAAGUUGAGAUACUUGGAACUGAAGAAUUCUAACCAGCCCAGAUUUGUACAGGGAGCAAUGUCCAGCCUUGAGUGUUUUAGGAUAAUAAUCGGCCUAGAAGGGACCAAUGGCUGGGACUUCCAUAGCCUGGUGAACCUCCCUCGUCUUGAGAAAGUUGAUGCUGAAAUCCUAGGCUACACUGGCAGGGGUAUCGACGGAGACGAGUUGCAGGCACAUGAGUCGUUGAAGCAGGCACAUGCGUCGUUGAAGCAUGCAGUUGAGAUCCAUCCCAACCAUCCCACACUCAAGUUGCAGAUUUAUCAUAGUUGACCCGAUUUCCCAGCCGUCUUGCACUCAAUGUACCUGUUACGUGUAAGCUUCAUUUUACAGAAGUAGGCCUUCAUGCAGAUAUUAAUGGAGAUGGAGUUUUAGAUCAUGUUCAGGUUGUCGGUGCAAAUGGUGCUGAGCAAACUGUUGUUACCGGGUCCAUGGAAGUGCUCAACCCUGUUGGGCAGUUGCCACAUCUGGUAUACCGGUGCAGGAGCAACUUUUUAAUGUUCCUAUUUGCCACUACAAUCAUCUCAAUCUGUUCCAUCAUGGUGACUUUUCAAGAAGUUCUGGGAGGACAUUUGAUCCAUCUAGCUUAGAGGUGGCGGCACCAAUUCUGCUGGAGAGAGACGAUAGUCAUGUACACAGAAGAGGAAGUCAUGGCGAUAUCAUCUUUCUAGCAAGUCGGUGAGCUCAUACUCUCCAGGCUUAAUUGGUCACGAUAUGACAUGGAGGUGGCAAAACUAUCGACAGGCGCGGCAUGGACAAACCUUCCAUCCCCAUCAGGGAUGACGGAGAACACCGUGAUCCCCACUCUCAAGGCCUUCUCCUUGCGAGCCUAUGACCCAAAGCAGGUGAUCAUUGCUGGCGGCGAUCAGGAGGUUGUGGUGAUCUCUCCUUCUGGUGGCCUACUGGCGUCGAUCGACCUCCCCGCGCCGCCGACUUACGCACUAAUCCUUGAGGAUUUCUCCGGGGAUGGGCUGACUGAUUUCAUGCUGGUGACAUCCGGGGGAGUGUAUGGAUUUGUGCAGACGAGGCAGCCUGGGGCGCUCUUCUUCGGCACGCUCGUCGGCUGCUUGAUCGUCGCGAUCAGGGCGAUUCUUGUUUCUCUACACCUCAACUCGUCGAACAACGGUAAACCAAGGUCUUCUUCGACCGACUACAGGUGACUGCGACAGCGGUAUUCUGCUGAGAGGAUCUUGUGAACAUCCCCGGCACGCAGUGAGGAGAUGUUAUAGUGUUGAAGCAAGACUUCUAUUAAUUAUAGCUGGCUGGAGGUGUUUAGCUUGUGUCUUGUAAGUAUUUGGGUUGGUGAACUUUCGUUGUUCUUCAAUAUAAUCCUUCGCUAGCAUAAGUGUA
This is a non-coding RNA of Aegilops tauschii subsp. strangulata, 4268 nucleotides long. The record is from RefSeq and is a predicted model, not a curated record. Lineage: Eukaryota; Viridiplantae; Streptophyta; Magnoliopsida; Poales; Poaceae.